Molecule: ribosomal RNA, 1467 nt
Filed under: uncultured soil bacterium
Lineage: Bacteria
Description: bacterial SSU rRNA
Rfam family: Bacterial small subunit ribosomal RNA
Source: RNAcentral
AGAGUUUGAUCCUGGCUCAGAACGAACAUUGGCGGGAUGUCUUAAGCAUGCAAGUCGGGCGGCAGCACUACGGGUGGCGAGCGGCGAACUGGUGAGUAACGCGUAGAUUAUCUGCCUUUAGGACUGGGAUAGCCCUGGGAAACCAGGAUUAAUACCGGAUAUGAGUAUACUUGAAAGCGGCGUUCGCCGCACCUAGAGAUGAGUCUGCGUCCCAUUAGCUAGUUGGUAGGGUAAAUGCCUACCAAGGCGACGAUGGGUAGCCGGCCUGAGAGGGUGAUCGGCCACAUCGGGACUGAGAUACGGCCCGGACUCCUACGGGAGGCAGCAGCUAAGAAUAUUCCGCAAUGGACGAAAGUCUGACGGAGCAAUCCCGCGUGAGGGAAGAAGGCCUUCGGGUUGUAAACCUCUUUCGGCAGGGAAGAAUAAGCAAGUAGGAAAUGACUUGUGAUGACGGUACCUGAAGAAGAAGCACCGACUAACUACGUGCCAGCAGUCGCGGUAAUACGUAGGGUGCAAACGUUGUUCGGAAUCACUGGGCGUAAAGGGUACGCAGGCGGUCAUGUAAGUAAGGGGUGAAAAUCCGGGGCUUAACUCCGGACCUGCCUUUUAAACUGCAUGGCUAGAGUAUAAUAGGGGUGGUAGGAAUUCCUGGUGUAGGAGUGAAAUCUGUAGAUAUCAGGAGGAACACCAAUAGCGUAGCAAGCCACUGGGUAAUGACUGACGCUCAUGUACGAAAGCCAGGGGAGCAAAUGGGAUUAGAGACCCCAGUAGUCCUGGCCGUAAACGUUGCACACUAGUUAUCUGGGUUUUUAAAUCUAGAGAACACAGCAAACGCGUCAAGUGUGCCGCCUGGGGAGUAUGCGCGCAAGCGUGAAACUCAAAGGAAUUGACGGGGGCUCGCACAAGCGGUGGAGCAUGUGGUUUAAUUCGAUGAUAAGUGAAGAACCUUACCUGGGCUUGAACGUGUACUGCAAUCCUGUGAAAGCAGGAGUUUCUUCGGAACGGUAUGCGAGGUGCUGCAUGGCUGUCGUCAGCUCGUGUUGUGAAAUGUUGGGUUAAGUCCCGCAACGAGCGCAACCCCUAUCCAAUGUUGCUAAUCACUUCGGUGAAGGACUCUUUGGAGACUGCCCGGGUUAACCGGGAGGAAGGUGGGGAUGACGUCAAGUCCUCAUGGCCCUUAUGUCCAGGGCUACACACGUGCUACAAUGGGGUGCACAAAGAGCAGCAAGACUGCAAAGUUAAGCGAAUCUCAAAAAACACUCCUCAGUUCAGAUUGUAGUCUGCAACUCGACUACAUGAAGCUGGAAUCGCUAGUAAUCGCGGAUCAGCACGCCGCGGUGAAUACGUUCUCGAGCCUUGUACACACCGCCCGUCACACCACCCGAGUAGAUUUUACCUGAAGUAGCUGCAAUACGGCAGUUCCGAGGGUAGAGUUUGUGAGGAGGGUGAAGUCGUAACAAGGUAACC